Molecule: ribosomal RNA, 551 nt
Filed under: uncultured archaeon
Lineage: Archaea
Description: bacterial SSU rRNA
Rfam family: Archaeal small subunit ribosomal RNA
Source: RNAcentral
CGGGGUGCAGCAGGCGCGAAAACUUUACAAUGCUGGCAACAGCGAUAAGGGGACCUCGAGUGCCAGGAUACAAUCUUGGCUGUCGUGAUGCCUAAAAAGCAUUGCAUAGCAAGGGCCGGGCAAGACCGGUGCCAGCCGCCGCGGUAACACCGGCGGCUCGAGUGGUAACCGCUAUUAUUGGGUCUAAAGGGUCUGUAGCCGGCCGGAUAAGUCUCUUGGGAAAUCCAGCAGCUCAACUGUUGGGCUUUCAGGAGAUACUGUUCGGCUCGAGACCGGGAGAGGUGAGAGGUACUUCAGGGGUAGGGGUGAAAUCUUGUAAUCCUCGAAGGACCACCAGUGGCGAAGGCGUCUCACCAGAACGGAUCUGACGGCAAGGGACGAAAGCUAGGGGCACGAACCGGAUUAGAUACCCGGGUAGUCCUAGCCGUAAACGAUACUCGCUAGGUGUCGGCCACGGUGCGACCGUGGUCGGUGCCGUAGGGAAGCCGUGAAGCGAGCCACCUGGGAAGUACGGCCGCAAGGCUGAAACUUAAAGGAAUUGGCGGGGGAGC